RNAcentral lists this ribosomal RNA (484 nucleotides) under uncultured bacterium. Its description in RNAcentral is "partial 16S ribosomal RNA". It matches the Rfam family "Bacterial small subunit ribosomal RNA", at positions 39 to 507 of the family's 1533-position model. The record is from RNAcentral.
GGGGGGGGGGGGGGGGGGGGCGGGGAGGGGGGGGGGGGGGGGGUGAGGGGGGCGGGCUCCUGGGUGCGGCGGCGGACGGGUGGGUAAUGCCUAGGGAGCUGCCUGGUCGUGGGGGAUACCGUCCGGACACGGGCGCUAAUACCGGAUACGUCCUGAGGGAGAAAGUGGGGGAUCUUCGUACCUCACGCUAUCAUCUGAUCCUAGGUCGGAUUAGCUAGUUGGUGGGGUAAAGGCCUACCAAGGCGACGAUCCGUAGCUGGUCUGAGAGGAUGAUCAGCCACACUGGAACUGAGACACGGUCCAGACUCCUACGGGAGGCAGCAGUGGGGAAUAUUGGACAAAGGGCGCAAGCCUGAUCCAGCCAUACCGCGUGGGUGAAGAAGGCCUUCGGGUUGUAAAGCCCUUUUGUUUGGAAAGAAAAGCAGCAAGUUAAUACCCCGCUGUUCUGACGGUACCCAAAGAAUAAGCACCGGCUAACUUCGUG